CGUGUGUUAGUGGAACGGUCUGGAAAGUCCGGCGGUACAGGGUGAUAGCCCCGUACACUAAAAUGCACACGUUGUGAACUCGAAGAGUAGGGCGGGACACGUGGUAUCCUGUCUGAAUAUGGGGGGACCAUCCUCCAAGGCUAAAUACUCCUGACUGACCGAUAGUGAACCAGUACCGUGAGGGAAAGGCGAAAAGAACCCCGGCGAGGGGAGUGAAAAAGAACCUGAAACCGUGUACGUACAAGCAGUGGGAGCCUACUUGUUAGGUGACUGCGUACCUUUUGUAUAAUGGGUCAGCGACUUAUAUUCUGUAGCAAGGUUAACCGUAUAGGGGAGCCGCAGGGAAACCGAGUCUUAACUGGGCGUUAAGUUGCAGGGUAUAGACCCGAAACCCGGUGAUCUAGCCAUGGGCAGGUUGAAGGUUGGGUAACACUAACUGGAGGACCGAACCGACUAAUGUUGAAAAAUUAGCGGAUGACUUGUGGCUGGGGGUGAAAGGCCAAUCAAACCGGGAGAUAGCUGGUUCUCCCCGAAAGCUAUUUAGGUAGCGCCUCGUGAACUCAUCUUCGGGGGUAGAGCACUGUUUCGGCUAGGGGGUCAUCCCGACUUACCAACCCGAUGCAAACUACGAAUACCGAAGAAUGUUAUCACGGGAGACACACGGCGGGUGCUAACGUCCGUCGUGAAGAGGGAAACAACCCAGACCGCCAGCUAAGGUCCCAAAGUCAUGGUUAAGUGGGAAACGAUGUGGGAAGGCACAGACAGCCAGGAUGUUGGCUUAGAAGCAGCCAUCAUUUAAAGAAAGCGUAAUAGCUCACUGGUCGAGUCGGCCUGCGCGGAAGAUGUAACGGGGCUAAACCAUG
Molecule: ribosomal RNA, 863 nt
Filed under: Klebsiella ornithinolytica
Lineage: Bacteria; Pseudomonadati; Pseudomonadota; Gammaproteobacteria; Enterobacterales; Enterobacteriaceae
Description: partial 23S ribosomal RNA
Rfam family: Bacterial large subunit ribosomal RNA
Source: RNAcentral